UACAGAGGUCUCAAGCGUUGUUCGGAUUCAUUGGGCGUAAAGGGUGCGUAGGCGGGUCUUUAAGUCAGGGGUGAAAUCCUGGAGCUCAACUCCAGAACUGCCUUUGAUACUGAGGAUCUUGAGUUCGGGAGAGGUGAGUGGAACUGCGAGUGUAGAGGUGAAAUUCGUAGAUAUUCGCAAGAACACCAGUGGCGAAGGCGGCUCACUGGCCCGAUACUGACGCUGAGGCACGAAAGCGCGGGGAGCAAACAGG
RNAcentral lists this ribosomal RNA (253 nucleotides) under uncultured bacterium. Its description in RNAcentral is "partial 16S ribosomal RNA". It matches the Rfam family "Bacterial small subunit ribosomal RNA", at positions 524 to 776 of the family's 1533-position model. The record is from RNAcentral.